GAACGCUGGCGGCGUGCUUAACACAUGCAAGUCGAACGAAGAAAGCACUUUCGGUGCGAGUACAGUGGCGAACGGGUGAGUAACACGUGGGCAACCUGCCCUGGAGAGCGGGACAACCCGAGGAAACUCGGGCUAAUACCGCAUGAUGCGUCCUGGCGUAAGUCAGGCCGCCAAAUGGUAGCUCUUCGGAGCCUCCGCUCUGGGAUGGGCCCGCGCCGGAUUAGCUAGUUGGUUGGGGUAAUGGCCCACCAAGGCGACGAUCCGUAGCUGGUCUGAGAGGACGAUCAGCCACACUGGGACUGAGACACGGCCCAGACUCCUACGGGAGGCAGCAGUGGGGAAUCUUGCGCAAUGGGCGAAAGCCUGACGCAGCAACGCCGCGUGAGGGAAGAAGGCCUUCGGGUUGUAAACCUCUUUCAGGAGGGACGAAGCUUCCGGGGUUAAUAGCCUACGGGGUGACGGUACCUCCAGAAGAAGCCCCGGCUAACUACGUGCCAGCAGCCGCGGUAAUACGUAGGGGGCAAGCGUUGUCCGGAAUCAUUGGGCGUAAAGCGCGUGUAGGCGGCUUGGUAAGUCUGGCGUGAAAUCUUGGGGCUCAACCCCAAGCCUGCGCUGGAUACUGCCUCGCUCGAGUCCGGGAGAGGAAAGCGGAAUUCCCAGUGUAGCGGUGAAAUGCGCAGAUAUUGGGAAGAACACCGAUGGCGAAGGCAGCUUUCUGGAACGGUAC
Molecule: ribosomal RNA, 727 nt
Filed under: uncultured bacterium
Lineage: Bacteria
Description: bacterial SSU rRNA
Rfam family: Bacterial small subunit ribosomal RNA
Source: RNAcentral